GGGGAAUUAGCUCAGUUGGGAGAGCGCCUGGUUUGCAACCAGGAGGUCACCGGUUCGAACCCGGUAUUCUCCA
RNAcentral lists this transfer RNA (73 nucleotides) under bacterium. Its description in RNAcentral is "tRNA-Ala". It matches the Rfam family "tRNA". From Rfam's summary of the family: Transfer RNA (tRNA) molecules are approximately 80 nucleotides in length. Their secondary structure includes four short double-helical elements and three loops (D, anti-codon, and T loops). The record is from RNAcentral.